ACCUACGGGAGGCAGCAGUGGGGAAUAUUGCACAAUGGGCGAAAGCCUGAUGCAGCAACGCCGCGUGAAGGAAGACGGUUUUCGGAUUGUAAACUUCUGUUCUUAGUGAAGAAAAUGACGGUACCUGACUAAGAAGCCCCGGCUAACUACGUGCCAGCAGCCGCGGUAAUACGUAGGGGGCAAGCGUUAUCCGGAUUUACUGGGUGUAAAGGGAGCGUAGGUGGCAUGGUAAGCCAGAAGUGAAAACCCGGGGCUCAACCCCGCGGAUUGCUUUUGGAACUAUCAGGCUGGAGUGCUGGAGGGGG
Molecule: ribosomal RNA, 305 nt
Filed under: uncultured bacterium
Lineage: Bacteria
Description: bacterial SSU rRNA
Rfam family: Bacterial small subunit ribosomal RNA
Source: RNAcentral